UCAGGCAGAGCCAGGCUGUGUCCUGGAGCCAUCGGCCCCGUUGCAGGUGCUGCUCUGACUCUUCAAGUCUGUCCUCUCCCAUGAGACGGAUUGUCCAGUGCCUUCAGAUUGGAACAGGUAGAAGAUUCUCCUCCACGUGGAGUGGGAAGUCGGCAGGUAUCAUCUCCACUGCUUCACAAGAUGCUUUUUCCCAGAGAGGCAAAAACGCCCGUGAGGGUGACCCGGCUGGGAGGCAAACCCUGUCCUGCCCCCAGCUCUUGGCACUGUAACUUUCUUUCUGCCCCUGCACCCAGAAAUGCUCAUCUGUGUCUACCUCCGGGAACUCAGCAGCCUGGAUGCUGCAUGAGACCCUGAGGGACUGCAGUACCAUCUUCCCAGUUUGUCGACAGGCACGUUGAGGCAGGUACUGGGAUCAGGCUUGGGCAAAUGAGCCUCUGAGAGGGUGGAUCCUUCACUUACGAAUGAGGUCCUUCUUUCCAUAGGAGCAGGAAAAAGGCCGUUUGUCGUAAGGGUCACUGCUGUUACUGGUCACCUCUGGGUGCGAGUCCUGGGCUAAUCGCAUAUCUUGCGGGACCCUGACAACUCCCCCAUUUAUCAGAUGAGGCAAAGCAAGGCUCAGUCACUUGCACAACGCAUAUCGCUAGUAAGCGUUGCUGGUGGGAUCACACUCAGCACUUCAUAGGCAAAGAAAAUCCCAGGAGUGCCGAGGAAACGCUGUCAAGAUGUCAAAAAUACGCGGAAAGGGAAAAAAGGAAUUGCUACGGAAAGAGAGGUGGGAGAGGAACCCAGUCAAUUUCACCUGCUCCCCUUCCUCCAGGAAGAAUCGGAACCGAAAGCUUAAUAAGUGUGGUUGUUUUGAUAUUCGAAUCAUGAGACCCAAGGCAUCGUAGGGGACCUCGCCUGCAUCCAUUCGCCUAUCCAUCCUACAGCAGCGACUGCACCCCUGAUUGUGAUGACGAAUGCACCCCCAUCCUUGGGCUCCGUGCCCACUGCUGGGCUGGGCUGCUCCCUCAGGUGCGGCAGCCAGAGGAGGUGUGGACUCCCAUCCCACGCGUUUAUCCUCCUGCAGCCUCUCGAGCUUGGUGGCAUAGCCGUCCUUCCAGUCCCCAAGCCAGAUGUCCUUGAUGCCCCUUCUCCCAGCCCCAUCCCCAUCGCCAGUUGUAUCAGUUUUCUAUUGCUACUGUAACAACUCACUACAAAUUGAGUGGCUUAAAACAACACACAUCUACUCUCUUACAGUUCUAUAGGUCAGAAAUCUGACAUGGUCUCAGAGGGCUAAAUUCAAGGUGUCUGCAGGACAGUGUUCCUGCUGGAGGCUCUUGAGGGAGAAUCGGUUUCCUUGCCUUUUCCAAGUAUAGAGGCCGCCCACAUUGGCCCCCUUCCGUCUUCAAAGCCAGCAAUAGCUCCGAGUCUUUCCUCCCUAGCAUCGCUGUGACGCUGACUCUCCUGCCUCCCUCUUCCACAUUUAAGAACCUUGUGAUUACAUUGGUCCUCCCAGAUAAUCCAGAAUAAUCUCCCCAUCGCAAAAUCAGCUGAUUAGCAACCUCAAUUCCACCUGCAACCUUAAUUCUCCCCUGUCAUGAAAUAUAAGAAGGAGAUCCAUAUGUUCCGGGGAUUGGGAUGCAGACAUUUUGGAGGCAUUGUUCUGCCGACCACGCCAUCCUGACAGUUUUACCUCUGGAAUCUCUGCAGUCCACCUCCGCCUCGCCAUUCCUGCACCACUCCCUUUCUGGUUACCCGCUAUUUUCCCAAGAUGCCUUCAGUAGCACCUAUCCACUGUUGUCAUCUCUCUAACCUCCCUCUGUCCACAGUCCCCUGGGCCCCCACUCCAAGACAAAGAUGCAGAUGUCGCUACUUCCAUGGCACUGUCAUCUGCAAGGGAGCAUCCUAACUCUCCUUGGGCACACACAGGCCCUCAACCUGCCCUACCCCAUUGGUUCCUCCGGAUCCAUGACCCCUCCCACCCUCCGCCUCACACCCCUGUGCUCCCUUAAUAGUAAAUCACUUCUGGUUCUCUUAAGAUCCUGGGGCAUUUGGUUCUUCCUGGCCUUGGCCUGUGUGGCUCCCAUUCUCUGAACUGUCCUGCCCACCUUUAUUCGCCUCCCCCAGGAAGCCUCCCUGACCCCCCAGACCCUUUCAUUGCCCUCCCUUGGAACAGAAAUGUGCUUUUCACUGACUGGAUUGGCCCAAAGAGAUCUGAACUUGAGGCUGCCUCCUCAUGUCACUGAGAGCCCUCUGGGGUGGGCACUGUGCCUUGCUUGCCUCUUUGGUCAUAGUGCCCAGCAUGAGAUUGGUCACAUAGUAGGUGCUCAAUGAACUCAGAUUGAACUAAACUCAAGGACUUGGUCGGGGGGUGGUGGUGGUGAGAAGACCAGCUGGGCUGCUUGGGGAAGUAAAGUAUAAAGUUGGAUGGAAAAGCACGAGGACCUUGGCUCUAUUUCUGGUUCUUGGGGUGGAAUAAUAAUGACAGCAACACCAAUGGUGGCUGGCCCCAAAGGUCGUCCCGUGCCAGGCAUAGGCUAAGUGCUUUAUGAGAACAUUAUCAAUCAAUUCCCACAACAGCCUUAAGAGGUACCAACUUUAUCAGCAUCCCCAUUUUAGAGAUGAGGGCCCUGAGGCUGGGCCAGGAAGUUAUCUUGAUCUUGGCUGUCCCUGAUUGGAGGGGUGGUGGGAGUUGGGGACGGGCGGCUCUGGCAGAGACCUGCAGGGAGGUUGCAGCUGGCCUGGCCUCUGGAAACAGCCACCUUAAUGCU
Molecule: long non-coding RNA, 2753 nt
Filed under: Homo sapiens (human)
Lineage: Eukaryota; Metazoa; Chordata; Mammalia; Primates; Hominidae
Description: HSALNT0355031
Source: RNAcentral